CCGCGAGCUUGGGGCGCGACCUGACGCCGGCGCCCCGGGACCCCGCGCCAGCCCGCCGCCUGCCCGCCGCGCAGCCCGAGAUACCGGGAAAAUUGAGGUUAUGAAGCAGAAGAGAGAAAUUUCAGAGAAGCCAAACAUAAUUCAUAUCAUCCAAGAGUGAGCAGAAGUCAUUGGGAGUACUGAGGAAGAAGCAAUUAACUAUGGGAGGAUCCAGCACCUAUCAAAUUUUUGAGACAGCUCAGUUCUUAGAGGAAGGCUCAUCUAAAUAAAGGCCAGCUAGUGACAUUGCAGGGAUUUGGUCUUUCUCUGGCUGCCCAUGUGACCAAAGGCCAAUUUGGUCACAAAGAUUUUUCUUUCCUGGGCUCCAGAUUAUUACAUCUCCUGGUUCCUGUGCCCUGUGCCUUGACACCAAGUGAAACACAAAAUGAAGACUGUCCAAGAUAGCACCUGCUGCAGGGACUUGGGGACCUCCAAGGGGCCUUUACACAUCAGCAUGCAAGAUUCCCUGGCCACCAACUGAAAUAGCAAGCUGGGGCCUUUAUCCUGGGACCAGCCAUCUGCCACAGAG
Molecule: long non-coding RNA, 568 nt
Organism: Heterocephalus glaber (naked mole-rat)
Lineage: Eukaryota; Metazoa; Chordata; Mammalia; Rodentia; Bathyergidae
Source: Ensembl